UUGAUCCUACGGGACGCAGCAGUGAGGAAUAUUGGUCAAUGGGCGGGAGCCUGACCCAGCCAAGCCGCGUGAAGGAAGAAGGCGCCAGGCGUCGUAACCUUCUUUUGUCGGGGAACAAAGGGCGCCACGCGUGGCGUUGUGAGUGUACCCGAAGAAAAAGCAUCGGCUAACUCCGUGCCAGCAGCCGCGGUAAUACGGAGGAUGCGAGCGUUAUCCGGAUUUAUUGGGUUUAAAGGGUGCGUAGGCGGUCCGGAAAGUCAGCGGUAAAAGCCUGGGGCCCAACCCCGGCGAGCGCUUGAAACUGG
RNAcentral lists this ribosomal RNA (305 nucleotides) under uncultured bacterium. RNAcentral's name for it is "bacterial SSU rRNA". It matches the Rfam family "Bacterial small subunit ribosomal RNA", at positions 333 to 636 of the family's 1533-position model. The record is from RNAcentral.